UCCAGACUCCUACGGGAGGCAGCAGUGAGGAAUAUUGGUCAAUGGGCUUACGCCUGAACCAGCCAAGUCGCGUGAGGGAAGACUGCCCUAUGGGUUGUAAACCUCUUUUGUCGGGGAGCAAGGCCCGCCACGUGUGGCGGGAAGGAGAGUACCCGAAGAAAAAGCAUCGGCUAACUCCGUGCCAGCAGCCGCGGUAAUACGGAGGAUGCGAGCGUUAUCCGGAUUUAUUGGGUUUAAAGGGUGCGUAGGCGGAAGGUUAAGUCAGCGGUCAAAUGUCGGUGCUCAACACCGGCCUGCCGUUGAAACUGGUCUUCUUGAGUGAGCGAGAAGUAUGCGGAAUGCGUGGUGUAGCGGUGAAAUGCAUAGAUAUCACGCAGAACUCCGAUUGCGAAGGCAGCAUACCGGCGCUCAACUGACGCUGAGGCACGAAAGCGUGGGGAUCGAACAGGAUUAGAUACCCGUGUAUUA
Molecule: ribosomal RNA, 468 nt
Filed under: uncultured bacterium
Lineage: Bacteria
Description: bacterial SSU rRNA
Rfam family: Bacterial small subunit ribosomal RNA
Source: RNAcentral